GACGUAGGAUGCAAGCGUUGUCCGGAUUUAUUGGGCGUAAAGAGUUCGUAGGUGGUUUGUUAAGUCUGAUGUUAAAGACUGGGGCUCAACCCUGGGAGUGCAUUGGAUACUGGCGGACUGGAGUGCAGUAGAGGCAAGCGGAAUUCCCAGUGUAGCGGUGAAAUGCGUAGAUAUUGGGAAGAACACCGGUGGCGCAAGCGGCUUGCUGGGCUGUAACUGACGCUGAGGAACGAAAGCUAGGGGAGCGAAUGGG
RNAcentral lists this ribosomal RNA (253 nucleotides) under uncultured bacterium. RNAcentral's name for it is "partial 16S ribosomal RNA". It matches the Rfam family "Bacterial small subunit ribosomal RNA", at positions 524 to 776 of the family's 1533-position model. The record is from RNAcentral.